UGGGGGAUAUUGCACAAUGGGGGAAACCCUGAUGCAGCGACGCCGCGUGGGUGAAGGAGCACUUCGGUGCGUAAAGCCCUAUCGGCAGGGAAGAAAAGGGGG
RNAcentral lists this ribosomal RNA (102 nucleotides) under uncultured bacterium. RNAcentral's name for it is "partial 16S ribosomal RNA". It matches the Rfam family "Bacterial small subunit ribosomal RNA", at positions 355 to 456 of the family's 1533-position model. The record is from RNAcentral.